RNAcentral lists this ribosomal RNA (253 nucleotides) under uncultured bacterium. RNAcentral describes it as "partial 16S ribosomal RNA". It matches the Rfam family "Bacterial small subunit ribosomal RNA", at positions 524 to 776 of the family's 1533-position model. The record is from RNAcentral.
UACGGGGGGUGCGAGCGUUGUCCGGAAUCACUGGGCGUAAAGGGCGCGUAGGUGGUCUGAUAAGGGUGUGGUGAAAGCCCGGGGCUCAACCCCGGGUCGGCCGUGCCGACUGUUGGACUAGAGUGCUGUAGGGGCAGGCGGAAUUCCGGGUGUAGCGGUGGAAUGCGUAGAGAUCCGGAGGAAGACCGGUGGCGAAGGCGGCCUGCUGGGCAGAUACUGACACUGAGGCGCGACAGCGUGGGGAGCAAACAGG